CUGAACGCUCACAGGCCCUCCGCCAGCGGGAACCACUGGACCCGAGAGGUCCGGGAGGAAGCCGACAUCUAUUAAGCUCUUACUGUGUGCCCAACAAUCUACAGGGGACCCUCUACCAAGGGUCUGGAAGUGGGAAUCUCUGCAUAGACCAUAAGGCUCUAGAAGCGGGGAAGUUUAAGGGGCUCUCGCAAGAGCUGGGAACUCCGGGUAACCAAUGGCCCACGGGUGAAAGUAAGCGAAGCUUCGUGGAACACCCCAACUCUGAGCUGGGACUACUGUCCCGUCCUGAGGAGAAACGAAGGGCGUGUGCGUUAGGAGCGCAGAGACCGAAAUGGCCUCAGUCUCCUGUCACUGCCCCGUCACGAUGCUGGGGAAUCUCCAGGCCAGUAACCCAGCCCCCACCCCCUCCCGCACACUCAGGGGCCGCUGGACAAAGACCUGACGGAGUGGGAGGGGCCUGCGGGCCGGCCCUCGGGCUCAGGCCGCGGGAUCCUUCUGGGACCCGAACCCGCAAAUCCUGGCUCCCACUCCCCAAGCCCGCAGACUCCCCGGAGUCCGCCGCUCACUAACACCACCACCUCCUCGGUUCCAGACCGGCCGGUGAAGCGGGUGCCCGUCGGCGGCCGAGGGGCGAUCUCAUCGCUAGUCGCCCCCUUCCUCCGGGGAAAUGACCCUGGGCUCCGACGCACCCUCUCGAGUCUCUCCCGGCCUUGCCCUCCGACCUCCGCCUAGUUGGGCCCCCUGUCCCUCAGCCCCCGCCCUCCCCGGGCCUCACACGGCCCUGCGCCCGCGGACAAAGCUCUGGACAUCGGACCGCACAGUCGCCACCCCCUGACCCCCGGCCCGCCCGCGCGCUCCCGCGCCUGCCCCUUCCCCGGCCUGAGACGCGUACCUCGGCAUCCCGGCCGGGUCCUAGGUCCGUGCUUCGGGGCUCUGCCGCCACCCUCUCUGAGACUUCCUUUCCUUCCGGGUGGCAGGCAGUUCAGCAAGAGCGUCCGUAGGAAUCACGCUGGAGGGGCUUCCUCUAACCUGCAGAACAGGCCUCUGACCUCCAAGUCUGGCAGAAUUCUAAAGACUAUCUCUUCACUUGCGAUCAUGUUUCCGGACACUCGCGGAUCCCACAGACACAGGCAGCUCUGUAGAUGCCAGGGAAAGGGAAGGCACAGGCCACCAAUCAUCCUUUUUGUCUUUUCUUUUUCAUUGUCUAAAUAUGGAAAUAAGACGAACAUCCAAUAAAGUUCUGAAAUUCA
Long non-coding RNA from Mastomys coucha (southern multimammate mouse), 1250 nucleotides. RefSeq lists it as uncharacterized. Lineage: Eukaryota; Metazoa; Chordata; Mammalia; Rodentia; Muridae. The transcript has 2 exons. The record is from RefSeq and is a predicted model, not a curated record.